RNAcentral lists this transfer RNA (75 nucleotides) under Neomoorella glycerini. Its description in RNAcentral is "Moorella glycerini tRNA-Thr". It matches the Rfam family "tRNA". From Rfam's summary of the family: Transfer RNA (tRNA) molecules are approximately 80 nucleotides in length. The record is from RNAcentral. RNAcentral also lists the same sequence under 11 other names. Lineage: Bacteria; Bacillati; Bacillota; Clostridia; Neomoorellales; Neomoorellaceae.
GCUGAUGUGGCUCAGGGGUAGAGCAGCGCACUCGUAAUGCGCAGGUCGAGGGUUCGAAUCCCUCCAUCAGCUCCA